RNAcentral lists this ribosomal RNA (467 nucleotides) under uncultured bacterium. Its description in RNAcentral is "bacterial SSU rRNA". It matches the Rfam family "Bacterial small subunit ribosomal RNA", at positions 8 to 466 of the family's 1533-position model. The record is from RNAcentral.
AGAGUUUGAUCCUGGCUCAGGAUGAACGCUAGCGGCAGGCUUAAUACAUGCAAGUCGAGGGGCAGCAGGUUUGUAGCAAUACAGAUGCUGGCGACCGGCAAACGGGUGAGGAACACGUACGCAACUUUCCUUCAAGUGGGGGAUAGCCCAGGGAAACUUGGAUUAAUACCCCAUAAUAUUACGAAGCGGCAUCGUUUUGUAAUUAAAGCUCCGGCGCUUGAAGAUGGGCGUGCGCCUGAUUAGGUAGUUGGCGGGGUAACGGCCCACCAAGCCUACGAUCAGUAACUGGUGUGAGAGCACGACCAGUCACACGGGCACUGAGACACGGGCCCGACUCCUACGGGAGGCAGCAGUAAGGAAUAUUGGGCAAUGGACGAAAGUCUGACCCAGCCAUGCCGCGUGGAGGAUGAAGGUCCUCUGGAUUGUAAACUUCUUUUAUCUGGGAAGAAAUCUACGGUUUCCACUGU